Long non-coding RNA from Vidua macroura (Pin-tailed whydah), 390 nucleotides. RefSeq lists it as uncharacterized. The transcript is spliced from 3 exons. The record is from RefSeq and is a predicted model, not a curated record. NCBI's taxonomy places the organism in Eukaryota, Metazoa, Chordata, Aves, Passeriformes, Viduidae.
CCCUGCUGCUGAGCCCUGCUCCUGCCAGGCCUUCCUGCAGGGAGAACAUUCACCUUGCACAUUCACCUUUUUAUCGGGCGGCUGCUCAGACAAGGAAAGUUCUGAAGUCUUUUUUCCUCAGAGCUGCAGGUGCCACCUUGAGUUGGCUGGGACGUUCUCUGUGGCGGGCACAGCGUGUGUCGUGCACCAUCCCCUCCUCAUUCCAGGGGCCCAGCUGACCUGUGCUGCCCUUCUCCUGAGUGUGGCGUGGAAUUCAUGGCCUUCAACACUUCAUAAGCUCAUCCCAAGUGUGUUUGCAAUUCAGGUGCGUGGAGGACUCCUCACUCUUCACCUGCUCAGAAUAUCUGAGAGCUGCAGGCAGAACCCGUCUGCACCCAGAACCACCUGCAC